RNAcentral lists this ribosomal RNA (497 nucleotides) under uncultured bacterium. RNAcentral describes it as "partial 16S ribosomal RNA". It matches the Rfam family "Bacterial small subunit ribosomal RNA", at positions 28 to 507 of the family's 1533-position model. The record is from RNAcentral.
GAUGAACGCUGGCGGCGUGCCUAAUACAUGCAAGUCGAGCGAACAGACGAGGAGCUUGCUCCGCUGACGUUAGCGGCGGACGGGUGAGUAACACGUGGAUAACCUACCUAUAAGACUGGGAUAACUUCGGGAAACCGGAGCUAAUACCGGAUAAUAUAUUGAACCGCAUGGUUCAAUAGUGAAAGACGGUUUUGCUGUCACUUAUAGAUGGAUCCGCGCCGCAUUAGCUAGUUGGUAAGGUAACGGCUUACCAAGGCAACGAUGCGUAGCCGACCUGAGAGGGUGAUCGGCCACACUGGAACUGAGACACGGUCCAGACUACUACGGGAGGCAGCAGUAGGGAAUCUUCCGCAAUGGGCGAAAGCUUGACGGAGCAACGCCGCGUGAGUGAUGAAGGUCUUCGGAUCGUAAAACUCUGUUAUUAGGGAAGAACAAAUGUGUAAGUAACUAUGCACGUCUUGACGGUACCUAAUCUGAAAGCCACGGCUAACUACGUG